This 233-nucleotide ribosomal RNA is filed under the name uncultured bacterium. Its description in RNAcentral is "partial 16S ribosomal RNA". It matches the Rfam family "Bacterial small subunit ribosomal RNA", at positions 28 to 261 of the family's 1533-position model. The record is from RNAcentral.
GACGAACGCUGGCGGCGUGCUUAACACAUGCAAGUCGAGCGGUAAGGCCCUUUCGGGGUACGACGAGCGGCGAACGGGUGAGUAACACGUGGGUGACCUGCCCUCAGCUCUGGGAUAAGCCUGGGAAACUAGGGUCUAAUACUGGAUAUGACUCCACGGUGCAUGUCGUGGGGUGGAAAGCCUUGUGCGGCUGAGGAUGGGCCCGCGGCCUAUCAGCUUGUUGGUGGGGGGAU